UCAUAUAAUGUUGAAGCACCGGUUCUCGUACGAUCUCCAAAGUUAAGCAACGUCGAGCCUGGUCAGUACCGAGAUGCGUAUCCGCUUGGGAAUACGAGGUGCUGUAAG
This is a non-coding RNA of Acanthosepion pharaonis, 108 nucleotides long. The record is from the annotation of a GenBank genome assembly. NCBI's taxonomy places the organism in Eukaryota, Metazoa, Mollusca, Cephalopoda, Sepiida, Sepiidae.